RNAcentral lists this ribosomal RNA (446 nucleotides) under uncultured bacterium. RNAcentral's name for it is "bacterial SSU rRNA". It matches the Rfam family "Bacterial small subunit ribosomal RNA", at positions 330 to 793 of the family's 1533-position model. The record is from RNAcentral.
ACCAGACUCCUACGGGAGGCAGCAGUAGGGAAUCUUUCACAAUGGGCGAAAGCCUGAUGGAGCAACGCCGCGUGCAGGAUGAAGGCCUUCGGGUUGUAAACUGCUUUUAUAAGCGAGAAAUAUGAUGGUAACUUAUGAAUAAGGAUCGGCUAACUACGUGCCAGCAGCCGCGGUAAUACGUAGGGGGCGAGCGUUAUCCGGAAUUACUGGGUGUAAAGGGAGCGUAGACGGCGAGGUAAGCCUGAAGUGGAAGCCCGCGGCCCAACCGCGGAACUGCUUUGGGAACUGUUUUGCUGGAGUAUGGGAGGGGUAAGCGGAAUUCCUGGUGUAGCGGUGAAAUGCGUAGAUAUCAGGAGGAACACCGGUGGCGAAGGCGGCUUACUGGACCAUAACUGACGUUGAGGCUCGAAAGCGUGGGGAGCGAACAGGAUUAGAUACCCCGGUAG